CCUAAUUAAGAACCCCACCCCAAUAUUAAACAAUUCUAUAAAAUUUAUAGAAACUUUUAUGUUAAAACUAGUAACAAGAAUAAAAAAUUCUCCUUAAUGCAAAUGUAAAUCAGACAGGAUACACCGCUGAUAAUCAACGCCCAUGAGCCAGUAGUAGCAACCCAGCAAGAAAACCCUCCUUUUCCCAACGUUAACCUUACACAAGAGCAUUUUAAGAAAGAUUAAAAGAAUAAGAAGGAACUCGGCAAAAUCUAACCCCGCCUGUUUACCAAAAACAUCGCCUCUUGGAACCCAUAAGAGGUCCAGCCUGCCCAGUGACCCUGUUCAACGGCCGCGGUAUCCUAACCGUGCGAAGGUAGCGUAAUCACUUGUUCUUUAAAUGAGGACUAGUAUGAAUGGCACCACGAAGGUUAUACUGUCUCCUUCCUCUAAUCAGUGAAACUAAUCUCCCCGUGAAGAAGCGGGGAUAAACCUAUAAGACGAGAAGACCCUAUGGAGCUUUAAACACAGUAAUAAAUGCCCCCCCCCCCUUUUUCUAUUCAAAUCUCCGGAAAACUACUUUAUCUGAGCAUCCUAUUUACAAGUUUUAGGUUGGGGUGACCGCGGAGUAAAAAAUAACCUCCACAGUGAAUGGAAUCUUUUUCCUAAACUCAGGGCCACAACCCUAAAAAUCAAUAAAUUGACACCCAUUGACCCAAUAUUUUGAUCAAUGAACCAAGUUACCCUAGGGAUAACAGCGCAAUCCACUUCAAGAGCUCCUAUCGACAAGUGGGUUUACGACCUCGAUGUUGGAUCAGGGUACCCCAGUGGUGCAGCCGCUGCUAAAGGUUCGUUUGUUCAACGAUUAAAACCCUACGUGAUCUGAGUUCAGACCGGAGUAAUCCAGGUCAGUUUCUAUCUAUAAAGAGUUUCUUCUAGUACGAAAGGACCGAAAAAACAUGGCCAAUGCCACCUGUAAGCCAUACAACCUAUUUAUGACACAGCCUCAAUAAAAAAUAUGUCUCUAAAACAGCUUAAGAAAAGAGCA
RNAcentral lists this ribosomal RNA (1027 nucleotides) under Leptodactylus wagneri (Wagner's white-lipped frog). RNAcentral describes it as "partial large subunit ribosomal RNA". It matches the Rfam family "Bacterial large subunit ribosomal RNA", at positions 1495 to 2831 of the family's 2925-position model. The record is from RNAcentral. Lineage: Eukaryota; Metazoa; Chordata; Amphibia; Anura; Leptodactylidae.